UAAAUUUUGUGGGUUUAGAGCCCACCAAUCUAGUAAGGGCUUAGCUUAAUUAAAGUGUUUGAUUUGCAAUCAUUUGAUGGAAGAUACAUUCUUGCAGUACUUAGGGUUGGGUGUGCAGGAGUUAAAUAGAUGUGAUUUACUUAGGACUUUGAAGGCUCUUGGUCUGUUGUAACCUAAACUCCUAGUCCAAGAUGAAUAAUAUUGGUGUGAGUAGAAGUAAUAUGGUUGAAGUUAUGAAAGGGAGCAAGAGAAUUAUUUUUUUUUUGUAUCUUCAAAUUGUCAUUUUAUUUUUAUGCUGUUUGUUGAAGAAAAUAUAGUU
This is a long non-coding RNA of Leopardus geoffroyi (Geoffroy's cat), 319 nucleotides long. RefSeq lists it as uncharacterized. The record is from RefSeq and is a predicted model, not a curated record. The transcript is spliced from 3 exons. NCBI's taxonomy places the organism in Eukaryota, Metazoa, Chordata, Mammalia, Carnivora, Felidae.